This is a long non-coding RNA of Rosa rugosa (rugosa rose), 1145 nucleotides long. RefSeq lists it as uncharacterized. Lineage: Eukaryota; Viridiplantae; Streptophyta; Magnoliopsida; Rosales; Rosaceae. The transcript has 2 exons. The record is from RefSeq and is a predicted model, not a curated record.
AUAUUGAUACAUUGCAUUUUGUGAUAUGGAUUUGAGGUAGGUUCUGAACUUGAUUCUUCAUCUGGGCAUUAUAAUUUUUUGCUUGUAAUUGAUGGGAUUCCAGUGGUAAUAUAUAUCAUUUAUCAUGAGAGAUUGAUUCUUUGGCAAGGCUAAAACUGGUAUACAUGUUCUUUGCAUUCCAGGGUGUUUUAUUUCUUCUGUUUCAUGGCAUUCCUGUGUUGUUCUCUUAUACUCCAUACAAUUUCAUAAUGUGUAGGCAAAGAGUAAGGUUUUUUUUUUCCACUUGAUAGAGAUGCAUUCCCCUCUUUGAAACUGCAUGCAAUUGGUUUUACUUUGUUUUCAGAGCUGAAUUCAUGAUGUUGAAAACAUGUUGGAACUUCUAAAAUUAAAAGCUGUCAUGUGUCUUCUGGAAUUAUACUAUGUACUAUGAAACUGAUUUGAAAGCAAAACAUCUUCCCUUUCUUAAAUGUGCAUGACUAUUGUUAAAAGAAAUGAGGCAGCUCUGAACUCUAUCUUGCUAUAGAUCAAGAAAUCUAUUUGUAUGAACUAAGAAGAUGGCAGAGAGUUGUUCUGUUCAGAGUAACUCAUUUGCUCCCUACCCAUGAAGAACUCUGGCUCAGAAUUCUUAUAAUCAAUGUUCGAGCUGAUUAGUUUGCCUUUUGGUUACCCUUAUAAUUUACAGAUUAAUGAAUCACAGCAUCAAGCACAAACCACACUUGCAUCGUGAUAAAUCCACGCAUUCCACAGGCGCAACAAUAUAAAACUGAGUAUCAAGUGCUCAACAAAACAAGAGAGGCCAACACCUUAUGAAAUGAAUAUCUAAAGCAUCAAAAGAGCGUUCCACCUGCAACCAGUUUUUAUAAAAUCCUUGAAUGUAGACCCUCUUUUGAGUCUCUUUAGCUGGAGACCCAAACACAAGACACAGCUAAAGAAUAGUUUAUCCCUCCCUUGCUUUAUUAAACGAUACAUACCAAGUUUGAUUUGAAGUUAUUGAUUCCGGUGGAGAAAUUCGUGUAACAUGUUGAACAGAAACGUUCUACUAUGCAAUGUUAUCCCAGUAACAUAUAACAGUAAUUCCCGCAGCAAAGCGCGGGGGCACUCUUCCUAGUUUUAUACAUAUCUCUUAGAAGUUUGAAAAAUGGAUA